This 492-nucleotide ribosomal RNA is filed under the name uncultured bacterium. Its description in RNAcentral is "partial 16S ribosomal RNA". It matches the Rfam family "Bacterial small subunit ribosomal RNA", at positions 29 to 507 of the family's 1533-position model. The record is from RNAcentral.
AGUGAACGCUGGCGGUAGGCCUAACACAUGCAAGUCGAACGGCAGCACAGUAAGAGCUUGCUCUUACGGGUGGCGAGUGGCGGACGGGUGAGGAAUACAUCGGAAUCUACUUUUUCGUGGGGGAUAACGUAGGGAAACUUACGCUAAUACCGCAUACGACCUACGGGUGAAAGCAGGGGAGCUUCGGACCUGUCGCGAUUGAAUGAGCCGAUGUCGGAUUAGCUAGUUGGCGGGGUAAAGGCCCACCAAGGCGACGAUCCGUAGCUGGUCUGAGAGGAUGAUCAGCCACACUGGAACUGAGACACGGUCCAGACUCCUACGGGAGGCAGCAGUGGGGAAUAUUGGACAAUGGGCGCAAGCCUGAUCCAGCCAUACCGCGUGGGUGAAGAAGGCCUUCGGGUUGUAAAGCCCUUUUGUUGGGAAAGAAAAGCAGCAGGUUAAUACCCCGCUGUUCUGACGGUACCCAAAGAAUAAGCACCGGCUAACUUCGUG